UUGGAUCCAAGACGAGCGUGCGGUGUGGUGAAUAAUAUAAGCACUAACACCAUGAUUGCAGGUUAUGAGCUAUCCACAAUAUACACAUCAACAAUGCACAUGAAUAAUAUAAAACUCACCUGAUACUUACCUGUGCGUCCACAGCACCAAUUCAUAUAUAUAUAUGCAUCAUAUAUCAAUUCAUGCUUUUCAUAUACUUCUAUGCAUGGCAUUCCAAAUCAUACUUUUCAUAUAAUUCUAUCCAUGGCAUUUUAAAUCAUGCUUUCAUUUAAAUUCAAUUUCUGGGAAAACUCAAUAGUAUAUAGGUAAUACGAAAACAAAACUGCCCACUCACCUGGAGUUCGCCCUAUAACUCCCUAGCACAACACAUCAGGCGUCAUGACGAUCGCCGCCUAGAACAAUAAUCAAAACCAACCUCAGAAAUCAUAUCGAUAGAAUAUAACUUAUAUAAACACAUCACUACGCAGUUCGAUCCGAAAGAUCUGCAACUCAGAUUUUAAAUCCAUAACUUCCAGAGGUCCACAAUAUAUCUCUAGGGCAACAUCCUGAAAUUUCAUUACCAUCCAACGGUCGGAUCUCCGUCAAUUUUCCAAAACUAAGUGACGGUUAACAUUUUAUUUUAUGAACUUACAACUCCAAUUCCGGAAGAUCCGUAACUCGGAUUCCCAAUCCGUAAGUUCCAAUAAUCCUCAAAUAUUACGUAUUACAACGUAUCAGAGUUUGGUGACAAUCCAACGGUCGGAUCGUCAAUUCACAUUUUCACCUAAAUGCGAAAACUAUAAAACGUUAUUUAAAGCACCUAACCAAUAAUCGUAAUAACUUUCUCAUACGGUGCUCAAUUUGGGUAUAUGAAUAUACCACAGUGAUCUACUCGACGUCACGAACGUCGACAUAUUUUUAGAUUAUUUUUUUGAUGUGCCACGCGCCCCCACGCGCCACACGUGGCACGGGUCCACGCGCAGGCCACGCGCAGCACGUGCAGCACGUGUCAUCCCCUUCGCAGGGCUCGCCGGACUGGUUUUUCCGGCGGCCGGACUCCGGCCAAACUCCGGCCAGUUUUCAAACUCCUUGUUCUCCUUCGUUUUUCACCCAUUUUCUUCGUAUUUUAUACCAAAUUGAAGCCCUAAGAGUGUACUAUCACGUUGGACUAGUUUUAGGGCCUAAAAAGCAAGAAAUCUCACCUUGCAAAAACCAAAGAUUCGGCCAACCUUGAAACCCACGAUCCCGACGUCCAAAUCCUUCAAACGAACGUCCCCGAGCUUCCUUAGGACCUCACUAAGCUUGCUAUAAGCUUGGAUUCCCCUGAAACACAACAUUUUACGUUCGCAUGAACAGUACCCAAAAAUGGAGGUUUCGGAUUCCGCGUGAAAUCGAAGGUUUCACUUCCUAAAACUAGCACCAAUGAACUCAGGACGUCAAAAGGAUGAAGAUACAUACCUUAUUUGCCUCGAUCCGUCGAGUUUGUGGAGGGUUUGGGUGUGUGCCGUACGAUGGGUGUGUGUGCGUGAGUUCGUGAGGGAGAGGGAGAGACAGGGAAGGCACGGGGGAAGGAGAGGUCUUGUGUGGUCCAGAUUAACCCACACCCUCAAUUUCAUCCUAGCCAUACAUAACAAAAUCCAUCUUUCAAAAUAUUUUCUAAUACCCUUGCAUAAUAUUUGAACCAAUAAAGUCUCACACACACGUACCUAAGUACCUUAGUAACGUCAAGGGCAAUCUCGUCAUUUCCUAUUCCCGUCAAAAGCACUUCUGGGACGGGCUGUGACAAUCUUCCCUCCUUAUAGAAUUUCGUCCCCGAAAUUCCCAUAACCAAAUAAAUCAAUUAAUACUCGUAGAAUAAUCUUGUGUACAUCUCUCUCAUCCGGUCUUCCGUCUCCCAAGUAGCUUCCUCUACAGAAUGAUUUCUCCAUAACUCCUUCACCAAACUCACCGUCUUGUUCCUUAGAACCUUGUCCUUCCAAUCCAAUAUUGUGAUUGGUUCCUCAUCAUAAGUCAAAUCCGGAUUAAUCUCUAGCGGUUGAGGAGGGAUCACAUGAGAAGGAUCAGAAAUAUAAUGCCGAAGCAUAGAGACAUGAAACACAUUAUGGACCUUAGAUAACUUUGGAGGCAGCUCCAACCGGUAGGCAACUUCACCAACUCUUUCAAUGAUCACAUAAGGUCCAAUGUAGCUCGGACUUAGCUUCCCUCUUUUCCCAAAUCGUACCACAUCUCUCCAAAGUGACAAUUUCAAAAAUACCCAAUCACCCACUAUAUACACUCGAUCAGUAGUAUGCCGAUCUGCUAACUCUUCUGUCGAUCCUGGGCUGCUUUCAGGUUUGACUUAAUUACCUGAACAUUUUGAGUAGUCUCAUCUAUAAUCUCUGGGCCUUCUAACACCCUUUCGCCAACCUCAGACCAACAUAAUGGUGUUCGACACGCCCUACCAUAAAGUGCCUCAAAUGGUGACAUACCAAUGCCCGAGUGAAAACUGUUAUUAUAAGCAAACUCCAUCAAGUCCAGACGAUUAUGCUAGGAAUCACCAAAUUGUAAUACUGAAGAUCUCAACAUAUCUUCCAACGUCUGAAUGGUCCUCUCUGAUUGCCCAUCAGUUUGAGGAUGAUAAGCUAUGCUAUACAGUAAUUGUGUACCCAGAGUUUCCUGAAAAGCCACCCAGAAUUUAAAAGUAAAUCUCGGGUCUCGAUCAGAGAUAAUAUUUACUGGAACUCUAUGAUACCUCACAAUCUUUGUGAUGAACAACUUAGCCAAUUUAUUCAAAGGCUACUUUUCUCCCACUGAAAUGGAGUGUGCUGGCUUGGUAAACCGAUCUACAACCAACCACCCAAACGCUAUCAAAUCCAUUCUGUGUACGUGGAAGCUUAUACACAGAAUCCAUAGUGAUAUUUUCCCAUUUCCACUGAGGAACGGGAAGUGGCCGCAUCCGACCAAAAGGUUUCUUUCUUUCUGCCUUCAUUUGCUGGCAAAUAAUACAUCUACUCGCAUACUCAGCAAUUUCUCUUUUCAUACCAGGCCAAUAAAACUUCUUCUUAACUUUUACCUUAAGCUUCAUCCCAGUAGGUCUCAAAUCCGUAAGAAGGAAAACAUAACAAGUAUACAAAGCAUCAAUUCUUACUGGAGCUUUCCUACCAAGUGCUUUGGUCGCAAAAAUUUCAAGAUCACCCUGGUCGUGCAAUCAUAAUCACUAAGCAACCAAAUCCAUCUUCGUUGCCUAAGAUUAGAUUCAUCUGAGUAAACAGAUAUUGGAGACUCUCAUGAUUCGUAGAAAUCUUACACUUUUCUUCAUAAAGAUAAUGUCUCCCAAUCUUCCCAGCAAGAUGAUAGUUGUUAAUUCCAAAUCACGAGUAGAGUAAUUUAUCUCAUGAGGUUUCCAUUUGUCGCGGAGCAUAGACAAUUACCUUAACACUUCCACUUUAACACAUCCAACACCACACAAAGAAGCAUCAUUAAAACCUUCAACAAACCAUCUAUAACACCCUGCUAAGCCAAGAAAAUUCCAAACUUCAGCCACGGUUCACGGUUGUUCCAAAUUCUCAAUCGCUGCUACCUUUUAAAAUUUCGCUUGAAUACCUUAAGCAUAUAUAACGCAUUUUAUAAUUGUUGUUGAUUCAUACAACAUUGACAUUUGCUAAACUUAGCAUACAAUCAACGUUCCUUCAAUCUUUGUAACAUCAACUUAAAUAUCUAACAUGCUCUGCUCUCGGCUUAGAGUAUCCCAGAGUAUCGUCAAUGAAAACAAUAACGACCUGUCAAGAUAUUCUGGGAAAACUUCAUCCAUCAACUUAUAAAACAGCAGGAGAAUCCGUCAAUUCGAAUAGCAUCACAAAACUCAUAAUGACCGUAACGAGUCCUGAACACAAUCGUAGGAACGUUAUCAUUAACUCUUCAAUCGGUAACAACCAGACCUUAAGUCAAUCUUAGGAAAUACGCAGACCUCUAAGUUGAUCAAUAAAUCAUCAAUACGCAACAAUGGAUAACGGUUCUUGAUCAUUACCCGAUUCAAUUACUUAUAAUUAAAACAUAGCCUUAAUGUCCAUUUUCUUCCUCACCAAUAAACUGGUGCUCCCCCCAACGUGAUGUACUUUAAAUGAUACCUUUGUCAACCAAUUCCUGUAACCAAAUUUUCAAUUCCCUUAACUCAUCAUGAACCAAUCUUUAACAUAAAAUUUGUGCCUGGAGACAAAUCAAUAGUGAACUCCAUAUCUCUGCCUAACGGCAAUCCAGGUAAUUCCUCAGGGAAAACAUCAAGAAAAUGUCUAACCGCCUUACAUCUCUCAUACCAUUAGAAGCAACAUCAUUUAGCACCCUAUGAGUUAAGUAUCCUUGGCAGCUUUUCGAUAACAAUCUCUUUGCUCUCACAGCAUAAAUAAAGGCCUAACUCAAUCCACUUUGCAUACCCAUAAAAGUAACCUCUGAUAAUCCAUAUUGGCAAGAUUAUAACCUAACCAAUCAGUGCUUAAAAAUCACAUCGAAAUCCACAAUGUCUAACACGAUAAGAUUCACUGGCAUAACUACUUCUUCCACUAUCACUGGACACCCUGAAGGUGUAAUAUUAUCAUCUUGUUCUUCAUUAGAAAUACAUAAAUACGCCUCGAUCGUGCUCCAACAUUACUCUCUUUGGCAACAUCGUCCAUAAUAAGAAAUAUAUCAGCCGGAGUCAGCUAGAAUGACCUAUACGGCUUACUCUUCAAUUUUCCAAAUAAUAUGUUCGCCGGAUCCACCUCUUGUGGCAUGUACGGCUGGACUUAUAACUCAUCAAAUAUCCCUGUACUCACGGCCCAUCUGACCAAACUAUUAAGUCCAUAAACCUGCUGGAUCGAUAUUGUGGUGUCAGGGAAGACUGCUGGGUAAUAACUGAUUCUAGGGACCAUUCAUAACUCUAUGUCCCAUCCGUCCACAUGAACACAUUCACUGAUCCCCACACUUUCCAAAGUGUCUAAUAUUGUACCUAUGGCACAAAGGUACAUUUUCCUUACUCGAGUCACCUUGUCUUUAAGAUCUGAGAUCACCAGUAAAUCUAUCACUUCGCCUCUGACCAGUGGCAUUAAACCUAAGCUGGAAGAAUUAGUUCUAACUUCACUUCUUUUGAAGCUCUGAGUCUUUCGAUGUCCUUGAUAUGACGAUUCUUUAAACUUAUCGUCUUUCCUCUAAUCACCAUUCUUUUCUUAUUCUUCUUUACUCACGCUGAUCAUGUUCUCAGAGUCCUCAACCCUCAACAACAUCUCGUAAGCUCUUGAUAGACAGUACAAUAGAUAGGGGUCGCCAAAGAACGUCACUUCUUCUUAUUAUCCAGCCUAAAACAACAUAACACUUCAACCAACUUAGCAACAAUAUCCAAAUGGAAACGAGGCAAGUCUAAAAACUUUCUAUAAUACUCAUUUGCUGUUAUCUUCCUUGUUUCACCUUUGCAAACUCUUGCUUACUACCAUCAUAAUAUACCGGAGGAAUAAAUCUUUUCUUUAACAAUUCCUUAAAUAAUUCUCAAUCAGCUGUUUCCUCCGGUGACAACGAAUAAUACUCCUGUUUCCACUAGGAUACAAAUUCAUAACCCAUAACCAGGUAGUCGUCUCGACCCACCUGUCAGAAUGAAUAUUCUUUUGACUUGCAUAACCCAAAACGUCUUUUCCAAGUGAGUAAGCCAACACUCUGCUCCCUCAGGUUCAUAAUUUCCAUAAAGUGAUUCAAAUUCAACUUAUAACCAGUCUCAAAGGGUUUCUUAGAUAAUAGACUGGAUCAUAAUGGCAAUAAUUCCCCCCCAAACUACUAUAUCAGGGAAAUUAGGUUAAUCCGAACUACGUGGCUCGCUACGAGGCGGUAUCGUUCUGACAGAAGACACUAGGAAAUUCUAAAGAUGUCCAAGAUUGAAACCUAGGCUCUGAUACCAACUGACACACCCCGUCCCGAAGGAGGGCAUGCUGGCCGUCACAUGAGAGUGACGUAACCAUUUAUACAGUUCGGAAGCUUUUAAAAUACAAUUAUUAAAAUGGAAACCCUCGAGGGUGAGUCCUACUUUUGUGAAUUCUGUCAGAAUACCGUUGGAUUCCUCGUGGCCACCAAAACUCUGCUCUCAAGAACCUGGAGGGGCGAAAAACAAAAUUGAGUGGGUCAGUAAAACCAAGCUUUUCAAAAACAUUUCGCCAAAAAUAAUUCUAACCCCUCACUGUAAAACCUGUAUACUUUUCCCAGAAAAUAGUAUAAUAACAUAAUACUUUUCAUAAAUCUCGAAUCGUCAAUUUUUCUUUAAAACCCGAAAGUAUGCCAUGUUUUAAUUUCGAAAACAAAAUAAAUGAUGCAUCAAUGUAACAGGUGAAAAGUUGAAUUAACCGGAGACCCUGCAGUUGGUCCUGUACGGUUAAUUCCAUAGCUCAACAUCCAAUCCAACCGGAGUCACCUCGAUGACCUGUACGGCACUACACUGCAGAUAAGUCGGAACUACCUGAAGUAGUCUGUACGACAUGGAUGGUGUAAUAAUACGCUCUAGUGCUUCUCUCAUCAAUCAUCUGUGCACAUAAUCUAAGGUCACCCACUAGUCGGAAUCACAUCUAGUAAUCUAUACGACUAGCAUGUCGGAACCCUCACUUGGUCUGUACGACAUCCACCUACUUGGAUCCAAGACGAGCGUGCGGUGUGGUGAAUAAUAUAAGCACUAACACCAUGAUUGCAGGUUAUGAGCUAUCCACAAUAUACACAUCAACAAUGCACAUGAAUAAUAUAAAACUCACCUGAUACUUACCUGUGCGUCCACAGCACCAAUUCACAUAUAUAUAUGCAUCAUAUAUCAAUUCAUGCUUUUCAUAUACUUCUAUGCAUGGCAUUCCAAAUCAUACUUUUCAUAUAAUUCUAUCCAUGGCAUUUUAAAUCAUGCUUUCAUUUAAAUUCAAUUUCUGGGAAAACUCAAUAGUAUAUAGGUAAUACGAAAACAAAACUGCCCACUCACCUGGAGUUCGCCCUA
This 6943-nucleotide long non-coding RNA is filed under the name Malus domestica (apple). Its description in RNAcentral is "long non-coding RNA (MDOM_LNC006147)". Lineage: Eukaryota; Viridiplantae; Streptophyta; Magnoliopsida; Rosales; Rosaceae. The record is from RNAcentral.